AUGGUGUCACCAUCCGAUGAUCGGAUCUGCACCGGUGCAGAUCCUACAAUAGAGUGCCUUCACUUUGGCUUAACCGAAGCAUCAGAGAAAAUUGAGACUCUGAUCCCUCAUCGAGAGAUCGAUCUCGAUGGCACCGAUCUUGCGGAUGCACUCUCUCCCAUGACCCUAGAUCUGUCAGAGGAGCCGCAGGAUACCUCCCUCCAGAUGUCGGUUUCAUACCGACCAUGGGAUGGAAAUCAUUCAUCAUCGGGCCAAGCAUGGAGCUCAAAUCUUAUGAUGCACCAUGGCGGCCAAGUUAGCCAGGCCCCGCUAGCAGUACUGAAGUCGACGAUAGAUCAACCUCGGGAGGAUCUGCCUGGGAGGACGAUCUCAGAUCAGAUUGGAAUAAAAUUUUCUCUCCCACCCACCCCCAAUGUUGAGUACCACCUCGAUAACUCAGGGCUGGCUGACAUCUUGGACCUAGCCUUUGUCUUGCAAAAGAUAAAUGAAACCGUCUGGCAAUUCUGGAUGCAAUUUUUGUUUGUAAAAAGAAAGUCCCAUAUUGCAAUGAUGAGGAGGCCCUAG
Molecule: ribosomal RNA, 564 nt
Filed under: Triticum aestivum (bread wheat)
Lineage: Eukaryota; Viridiplantae; Streptophyta; Magnoliopsida; Poales; Poaceae
Description: partial small subunit ribosomal RNA
Source: RNAcentral